Molecule: ribosomal RNA, 494 nt
Filed under: uncultured bacterium
Lineage: Bacteria
Description: partial 16S ribosomal RNA
Rfam family: Bacterial small subunit ribosomal RNA
Source: RNAcentral
GACGAACGCUGGCGGCGUGCUUAACACAUGCAAGUCGAACGGAAAGGCCUGCUUUCCCUUGUGGAUUGCGGGUACUCGAGUGGCGAACGGGUGAGUAACACGUGAGUGAUCUGCCCCCAACUUGGGUAUAAGCCUGGGAAACUGGGUCUAAUUCCCGAUAGGACUGCAGGGUGGUGCCUGUGGUGGAAAACGAUUUUCUAGUGGUUGGGGAUGAGCUCGCGGCCUAUCAGCUUGUUGGUGGGGUAAUGGCCUACCAAGGCGGCGACGGGUAGCCGGCCUGAGAGGGUGGACGGCCACAUUGGGACUGAGAUACGGCCCAGACUCCUAAGGGAGGCAGCAGUGGGGAAUAUUGCACAAUGGGCGGAAGCCUGAUGCAGCGACGCCGCGUGGGGGAUGACGGCCUUCGGGUUGUAAACUCCUUUCGACCGCGAGGAAGCCACCUGGUUGGAAGGGUGGUGACGGUAGUGGUAGAAGAAGCACCGGCUAACUACGUG